This 703-nucleotide long non-coding RNA is filed under the name Ananas comosus (pineapple). RNAcentral's name for it is "long non-coding RNA (ACOM_LNC026170)". The record is from RNAcentral. Lineage: Eukaryota; Viridiplantae; Streptophyta; Magnoliopsida; Poales; Bromeliaceae.
AGCUAUCUAUGGUUGAGACCCUCGGUGAGUCAGAUAUUAUUUGAUGUUUUAUUGUUUGAUAUGUUAUUAGACACGACACAGGCUUGGCCAGACUUAUGCGUCUAUUAUUGGGAUUGGGUGAUAUGGUAUUUAUUAUCGGUUAUCACAUUUGACACAUGAUGAGAUAUGUUUUUUUGUCAUUAAUACUUUCAUUUUGUAGAGGCAUAAUAUAUUGGGAACUGGAUGGAUCGUUCAUCAUGCGCUACCAACAAAGAUGCACAAAAAAUAGAGAAAGUCAACCGAACGGUAAAAAAAUAAAUGCAGAAAAAAGAAACCAAGAUUUUCGUGAUUCGGCAAUUGCCUACGUCCACGGAUAGAACAAAAGAGGCGUAUUCCUCUAUAUGAAGAAACAGAAAUAUAAACUUAACACCUUAUAUCUUCUCCAGAUAAAAAAUCAAGAGCCUUAUAAUGAAUCCCACAUUUCUCUUGUUUCAACGAAAACUUUAAGAAAAUACCGAAAAAGUUUUUCGUAAAAUCGAGAAGACCAAAUUAGAGAAGUAUAGAAAUUUCUGACCAAACUUUUUUAUAUCGUUCCUUCGAAGAAUCCUAACCGUUCAGGCAAUUGGUCGAGAACCACCGUUCCUCCCCGACUUCAAUCUGUCGCAUGCGUGCUGCCUCUCUUCCCUUGCUGCUGUACGGCUUCAAGAGAAACCGGCCACCUUUU